AUAUUGCGCAAUGGGGGCAACCCUGACGCAGCAACGCCGCGUGAUUGAUGAAGGUCUUCGGAUUGUAAAAAUCUUUAAUCAGGGACGAAACAAAUGACGGUACCUGAAGAAUAAGCUCCGGCUAACUACGUGCCAGCAGCCGCGGUAAUACGUAGGGAGCAAGCGUUAUCCGGAUUUACUGGGUGUAAAGGGCGUGUAGGCGGGCUUGUAAGUUGGAAGUGAAAUCUCGGGGCUUAACCCCGAAACUGCUUUCAAAACUGCGAGUCUUGAGUGAUGGAGAGGCAGGCGGAAUUCCCAGUGUAGCGGUGAAAUGCGUAGAUAUUGGGAGGAACACCAGUGGCGAAGGCGGCCUGCUGGACAUUAACUGACGCUGAGGCGCGAAAGCGUGGGGAGCAAACAG
RNAcentral lists this ribosomal RNA (400 nucleotides) under uncultured bacterium. RNAcentral's name for it is "bacterial SSU rRNA". It matches the Rfam family "Bacterial small subunit ribosomal RNA", at positions 361 to 775 of the family's 1533-position model. The record is from RNAcentral.